CCCCACCCCCUCUCACCCCCCUGCGUCCCAAACUAUGGCACAAUAGCGCUCAGCUCCUCUGUCUAUUCUGUGUCCAGCAGGAGCCCGCGGUGAUUCAUUGCUCCAAUUAGGGGCUCUGCAGCCCGUAGCUCGGGCUGUCUGAAGGGUCUCCUUUGGGACCCACGAAACCCAUCAGCUGCUGCCGCUGAUCUUUAAGGAAAGGUCAAGCCGGACGCAUUAGAGCCAGGCCGUCUGGCAGGAUGAUACCUUCUGUAAUCCCAGCACCCUGGAGAUGGAUGGGAAGUUCAAGGCCAGCCUGGGCUGCAUAGUGAAAACCUGUCUCAAAAAAUAAAACCUUGGCCGGAGGCAGUAUCCUCCCCAGGACCCGGGUGUGCUCCUCCAGCAUCCUCCCCAGGACCCGGGUGCGCUCCUCCAGCAUCCUUCCCAGGACCCAGGUACCAUCUGUCCAUCUGCUUCGACGGAGACAACCUGGGCCCUGUGCUUGCCCUCCAGCUAACUGGUGACCAAAAGAGAAAAACUGGUCUUUGGCUGCCCUUUCUUUCCUUGCUCUUCCCCCUCCCCUCUGCUCCCCACCUCUUCCCCUCCCCCCACUUCCCUUCUUCCCUUUCCAUCUGGUUAGAGCAAUCACUUCACUACUUUCUACAGAAAGAGCUUCAAACAUGGCAGGAUCCUGGCAAAAAAAUAUAUCCUCCUCGAAGGGAAAGAAUGUUACUAUGA
Myodes glareolus (Bank vole) is the source of this 717-nucleotide long non-coding RNA. RefSeq lists it as uncharacterized. The record is from RefSeq and is a predicted model, not a curated record. NCBI's taxonomy places the organism in Eukaryota, Metazoa, Chordata, Mammalia, Rodentia, Cricetidae.